Ochotona princeps (American pika) is the source of this 126-nucleotide ribosomal RNA. The record is from Ensembl. Lineage: Eukaryota; Metazoa; Chordata; Mammalia; Lagomorpha; Ochotonidae.
ACUAGUAGAUCCAUACCACCCCGAACAUGCCCGAUCUCCUCUGAUCUUGGAAACGCGGUAGGGCUGGGCCUGGUUAGUACUGGGAUGGGAGACUACUACAGUUAAAGGAUAUGGUUUUUGCCAGCU